RNAcentral lists this unclassified non-coding RNA (253 nucleotides) under uncultured Verrucomicrobiae bacterium. Its description in RNAcentral is "contains 16S-23S intergenic spacer region". It matches the Rfam family "Bacterial small subunit ribosomal RNA", at positions 524 to 776 of the family's 1533-position model. The record is from RNAcentral. Lineage: Bacteria; Pseudomonadati; Verrucomicrobiota; Verrucomicrobiia.
UACAGAGACUGCAAGCGUUACUCGGAUUCACUGGGCGUAAAGGGAGCGCAGGCGGGCUGGUGUGUCAGGCGUGAAAUCCCGGGGCUCAACCCCGGGGCUGCGCUUGAAACUACCAGUCUAGAGACUCGGAGGGGUAAGCGGAAUUCGUGGUGGAGCAGUGAAAUGCGUAGAUAUUGGGAAGAACACCAACGGCGAAAGCACUUUGCUAGGUUAAUACUGACACUGAGAAACGAAAGCUAAGGUAGCAAACAGG